Molecule: ribosomal RNA, 446 nt
Filed under: uncultured bacterium
Lineage: Bacteria
Description: partial 16S ribosomal RNA
Rfam family: Bacterial small subunit ribosomal RNA
Source: RNAcentral
CCUACGGGUGGCAGCAGUCGAGAAUCAUUCACAAUGGGGGAAACCCUGAUGGUGCGACGCCGCGUGGGGGAAUGAAGGUCUUCGGAUUGUAAACCCCUGUCAUGUGGGAGCAAAUUAAAAAGAUAGUACCACAAGAGGAAGAGACGGCUAACUCUGUGCCAGCAGCCGCGGUAAUACAGAGGUCUCAAGCGUUGUUCGGAAUCACUGGGCGUAAAGCGUGCGUAGGCUGUUUCGUAAGUCGUGUGUGAAAGGCGCGGGCUCAACCCGCGGACGGCACAUGAUACUGCGAGACUAGAGUAAUGGAGGGGGAACCGGAAUGCUCGGUGUAGCAGUGAAAUGCGUAGAUAUCGAGAGGAACACUCGUGGCGAAGGCGGGUUCCUGGACAUUAACUGACGCUGAGGCACGAAGGCCAGGGGAGCGAAAAGGAUUAGAUACCCGGGUAGUC